UCCCUGAGACCCUAACUUGUGACGUAUUAUGUAAAAUCUCACAGGCUAGAAUCUCAGGUAU
This 61-nucleotide microRNA precursor is filed under the name Blattella germanica (German cockroach). RNAcentral's name for it is "Bge-Mir-10-P3_pre stem-loop". The record is from RNAcentral. Lineage: Eukaryota; Metazoa; Arthropoda; Insecta; Blattodea; Blattellidae.